Molecule: long non-coding RNA, 150 nt
Organism: Thalassophryne amazonica
Lineage: Eukaryota; Metazoa; Chordata; Actinopteri; Batrachoidiformes; Batrachoididae
Exons: 3
Source: RefSeq, a predicted model, not a curated record
CCUCCAAAUGUGCACAUAAAGCUCAUGUCACACCAAAUAUUACAAAUGAUGAAAAUACAUUUCCCAGCUUGUAUUUCUAUACUGCAUACAGUAUAUUUUAAUAGGAGUGAAUAUCUCAAAAUAUUUUUUUUUUUUUAAAUAAGGGAAAAU